UCGUCGAUAACUCAGUUGGUAGAGCGGAAGACUGUAGAGUCAGUACGUAUCCUUAGCUCGCUGUUUCAAAUCCUGCUCGACGGA
This 84-nucleotide transfer RNA is filed under the name Caenorhabditis japonica. It matches the Rfam family "tRNA". From Rfam's summary of the family: Transfer RNA (tRNA) molecules are approximately 80 nucleotides in length. Their secondary structure includes four short double-helical elements and three loops (D, anti-codon, and T loops). Further hydrogen bonds mediate the characteristic L-shaped molecular structure. tRNAs have two regions of fundamental functional importance: the anti-codon, which is responsible for specific mRNA codon recognition, and the 3' end, to which the tRNAs corresponding amino acid is attached (by aminoacyl-tRNA synthetases). tRNAs cope with the degeneracy of the genetic code in two manners: having more than one tRNA (with a specific anti-codon) for a particular amino acid; and 'wobble' base-pairing, i.e. permitting non-standard base-pairing at the 3rd anti-codon position. The record is from Rfam by way of RNAcentral. Lineage: Eukaryota; Metazoa; Nematoda; Chromadorea; Rhabditida; Rhabditidae.